UUUGCACAAAAAGUUUGGCUUGGGUUAGAGUGGAGAGAAGAAGAAGAAUGGCUAAAGUCCUAGGCAUACAAAAGGUGAGGGAUAAAGAAUAAGACCACAAUGGAGUUCCUCCCUUGAGAUCAUAUUGAUGAUCCAAGUAGCUCUCAUCCUUUGGAAUAAGCAAUCACAUAAGCAUAAACUCAAGCAAUCAAUAAUCAAUGAAUUCUUGGAAAAGCUCCC
This 219-nucleotide long non-coding RNA is filed under the name Lathyrus oleraceus (garden pea). Its description in RNAcentral is "Pisum sativum (pea) long non-coding RNA (PSAT_LNC020272)". The record is from RNAcentral. Lineage: Eukaryota; Viridiplantae; Streptophyta; Magnoliopsida; Fabales; Fabaceae.